Parelaphostrongylus tenuis is the source of this 74-nucleotide non-coding RNA. Lineage: Eukaryota; Metazoa; Nematoda; Chromadorea; Rhabditida; Metastrongylidae. The record is from the annotation of a GenBank genome assembly.
GCGUCAGUAGUGUAACGAAUAGUGCACUCGCUCCAGGGAAGAGUGAGGUGCGGGUUCUAAUCCCGCCUGACGCA